This 498-nucleotide ribosomal RNA is filed under the name uncultured bacterium. RNAcentral's name for it is "partial 16S ribosomal RNA". It matches the Rfam family "Bacterial small subunit ribosomal RNA", at positions 28 to 507 of the family's 1533-position model. The record is from RNAcentral.
GACGAACGCUGGCGGCGUGCCUAAUACAUGCAAGUCGAACGAGAGCGCCCGGUGCUUGCACUGGUCAGUCUAGUGGCGAACGGGUGAGUAACACGUGGGUAACCUGCCCAUCAGAGGGGGAUAACAUCCGGAAACGGAUGCUAAAACCGCAUAGGUCUUCGAGCCGCAUGGCUUGAAGAGGAAAAGAGGCGCAAGCUUCUGCUGAUGGAUGGACCCGCGGUGCAUUAGCUAGUUGGUGAGGUAACGGCUCACCAAGGCCGUGAUGCAUAGCCGACCUGAGAGGGUGAUCGGCCACAUUGGGACUGAGACACGGCCCAAACUCCUACGGGAGGCAGCAGUAGGGAAUCUUCCGCAAUGGACGCAAGUCUGACGGAGCAACGCCGCGUGAGUGAAGAAGGUUUUCGGAUCGUAAAACUCUGUUGUUAGAGAAGAACAAGUGCUAGAGUAACUGUUAGCGCCUUGACGGUAUCUAACCAGAAAGCCACGGCCAACUACGUG